CCUACGGGAGACAGCAGUGAGGAAUAUUGGUCAAUGGCCGGAAGGCUGAACCAGCAAUGCCGCGUGAAGGUCAGUGCCCUAUGGGCGUUAAACUUCUUUUGUGCGGGAGCAAUAAUGGUCACGUGUGGCCAGACGAGAGUACCGUACGAAUAAGCAUCGGCUAACUCCGUGCCAGCAGCCGCGGUAAUACGGGGGAUGCAAGCGUUAUCCGGAUUUAUUGGGUUUAAAGGGUGCGUAGGCUGUGAGGUAAGUCAGCGGGGAAAUGCCCCCGCUCAACGGGGUGAAGUGCCAUUGAUACUGCCUUGCUGGAAUGCGGAUGCCGUGGGAGGAAUGUGUGGUGUAGCGGUGAAAUGCAUAGAUAUCACACAGAACACCGAUUGCGAAGGCAUCUCACGAAUCCGCGAUUGACGCUGAUGCACGAAAGCGUGGGUAUCAAACAGGAUUAGAUACCCUGGUAGUC
RNAcentral lists this ribosomal RNA (460 nucleotides) under uncultured bacterium. RNAcentral describes it as "partial 16S ribosomal RNA". It matches the Rfam family "Bacterial small subunit ribosomal RNA", at positions 338 to 795 of the family's 1533-position model. The record is from RNAcentral.